UACGUAGGGUGCGAGCGUUAAUCGGAAUUACUGGGCGUAAAGCGUGCGCAGGCGGCUUUGCAAGUCAGAUGUGAAAGCCCCGGGCUUAACCUGGGAAUGGCAUUUGGGACUGCAAGGCUUGAGUGCGGCAGAGGAGACUGGAAUUCCUGGUGUAGCAGUGAAAUGCGUAGAUAUCAGGAGGAAUACCGAUGGCGAAGGCAGGUCUCUGGGCUGACACUGACGCUCAUGCACGAAAGCGUGGGGAGCAAACAGG
This 253-nucleotide ribosomal RNA is filed under the name uncultured bacterium. Its description in RNAcentral is "partial 16S ribosomal RNA". It matches the Rfam family "Bacterial small subunit ribosomal RNA", at positions 524 to 776 of the family's 1533-position model. The record is from RNAcentral.